This 734-nucleotide ribosomal RNA is filed under the name uncultured endophytic bacterium. RNAcentral describes it as "bacterial SSU rRNA". It matches the Rfam family "Bacterial small subunit ribosomal RNA", at positions 771 to 1504 of the family's 1533-position model. The record is from RNAcentral.
AACAGGAUUAGAUACCCUGGUAGUCCACGCUGUAAACGAUGCCGAUUUGGAGGUUGUGGGCAUGACCCGUGGCUUCCGGAGCUAACGCGUUAAAUCGACCGCCUGGGGAGUACGGCCGCAAGGUUAAAACUCAAAUGAAUUGACGGGGGCCCGCGCAAGCGGUGGAGCAUGUGGUUUAAUUCGAUGCAACGCGAAGAACCUUACCUACUCUUGACAUCCAGAGAAUUCGCUAGAGAUAGCUUAGUGCCUUCGGGAACUCUGAGACAGGUGCUGCAUGGCUGUCGUCAGCUCGUGUUGUGAAAUGUUGGGUUAAGUCCCGCAACGAGCGCAACCCUUAUCCUUUGUUGCCAGCACGUAAUGGUGGGAACUCAAAGGAGACUGCCGGUGAUAAACCGGAGGAAGGUGGGGAUGACGUCAAGUCAUCAUGGCCCUUACGAGUAGGGCUACACACGUGCUACAAUGGCAUAUACAAAGAGAAGCGAACUCGCGAGAGCAAGCGGACCUCACAAAGUAUGUCGUAGUCCGGAUUGGAGUCUGCAACUCGACUCCAUGAAGUCGGAAUCGCUAGUAAUCGUAGAUCAGAAUGCUACGGUGAAUACGUUCCCGGGCCUUGUACACACCGCCCGUCACACCAUGGGAGUGGGUUGCAAAAGAAGUAGGUAGCUUAACCUUCGGGAGGGCGCUUACCACUUUGUGAUUCAUGACUGGGGUGAAGUCGUAACAAGGUAGCCGUA